RNAcentral lists this transfer-messenger RNA (391 nucleotides) under Coleofasciculus sp. FACHB-64. It matches the Rfam family "transfer-messenger RNA". From Rfam's summary of the family: Bacterial tmRNA, also known as 10Sa RNA or SsrA, is named for its dual tRNA and mRNA-like properties. Lineage: Bacteria; Bacillati; Cyanobacteriota; Cyanophyceae; Coleofasciculales; Coleofasciculaceae. The record is from RNAcentral. RNAcentral also lists the same sequence under 1 other name.
GGGGCCUUAAUGGUUUCGACAGGUUGGCGAACGCUGCCCCGUGAUUCAGGUCGAGAGUGAGUCUUCUCUCGUUAAUACUGGACUCAAAAAAAAGUAACUGCGAAAAACAACAUCGUAGCAUUCGCUCGUCAGGCAGCUGUCGUUGCCUAAAAACCUCUCAUAGGUUUCUGAGCGUCUGUAGUCUGACUCCGUUAAGGGCUACAGAACAACCCCAACGGAUGCUAUAGCAAGUUGUCUCUGGUAGACUUGCUAGCUAAGACCUCAUCAGAGAAUCCUGUCAUCCGGGAUAAUGGAUGGUUCCCGCCUUGAGGGUUAGAUAGGCUAAACCUGUGAAUGAGCGAUAGGUUAAUACCCAAUUUGGACACGGGUUCGAUUCCCGUAGGCUCCACUU